This 70-nucleotide transfer RNA is filed under the name Kalotermitidae sp. A SH-2022a. RNAcentral's name for it is "tRNA-Leu". Lineage: Eukaryota; Metazoa; Arthropoda; Insecta; Blattodea; Kalotermitidae. The record is from RNAcentral.
ACUAUUUUGGCAGAUAAGUGCGGUGGAUUUAGAAUCUAUUUAUGUGGAUUGGUUUGUUACACAUGUAGUA